Molecule: ribosomal RNA, 247 nt
Filed under: uncultured bacterium
Lineage: Bacteria
Description: partial 16S ribosomal RNA
Rfam family: Bacterial small subunit ribosomal RNA
Source: RNAcentral
UGAGUAACACGUAUCCAACCUGCCGUCUACUCUUGGACAGCCUUCUGAAAGGAAGAUUAAUACAAGAUGGCAUCAUGAGUCCGCAUGUUCACAUGAUUAAAGGUAUUCCGGUAGACGAUGGGGAUGCGUUCCAUUAGAUAGUAGGCGGGGUAACGGCCCACCUAGUCUUCGAUGGAUAGGGGUUCUGAGAGGAAGGUCCCCCACAUUGGAACUGAGACACAGUCCAAACUCCUACGGGAGGCAGCAG